CAGCCGGAUAAUCGGGAGAAAUUCCGUCUAAUACGGCAUAAUGCAUCGACGGGACAUCCUGUUGGUGCCAAAGGUUGAUUCCGGUGGCGGAUGGGCAUGCGUCGCAUUAGUUAGUUGGCGGUGUAACGGACCACCAAGACGACGAUGCGUAGGGGUUCUGAGAGGAAGGUCCCCCACACUGGUACUGAGACACGGACCAGACUCCUACGGGAGGCAGCAGUGAGGAAUAUUGGUCAAUGGGCGGGAGCCUGAACCAGCCAAGUCGCGUGAGGGAUGACGGCCCUAUGGGUUGUAAACCUCUUUUGCCGGGGAGCAAAGUGCCGCACGUGUGCGGUUUGGAGAGUACCCGGAGAAAAAGCAUCGGCUAACUCCGUGCCAGCAGCCGCGGUAAUACGGAGGAUGCGAGCGUUAUCCGGAUUUAUUGGGUUUAAAGGGUGCGUAGGCGGACGCUUAAGUCAGCGGUAAAAUUGCGGGGCUCAACCUCGUCGAGCCGUUGAAACUGGGUGCCUUGAGUGGGCGAGAAGUACGCGGAAUGCGUGGUGUAGCGGUGAAAUGCAUAGAUAUCACGCAGAACUCCGAUUGCGAAGGCAGCGUACCGGCGCCCAACUGACGCUGAAGCACGAAGGCGUGGGUAUCGAACAGGAUUAGAUACCCCGGUAGUCCACGCAGUAAACGAUGAAUGCUAGUUGUCCGGGGCGAUUGAGUUCUGGGUGACACAG
This 719-nucleotide ribosomal RNA is filed under the name uncultured bacterium. RNAcentral's name for it is "bacterial SSU rRNA". It matches the Rfam family "Bacterial small subunit ribosomal RNA", at positions 136 to 851 of the family's 1533-position model. The record is from RNAcentral.